Molecule: ribosomal RNA, 274 nt
Filed under: uncultured bacterium
Lineage: Bacteria
Description: partial 16S ribosomal RNA
Rfam family: Bacterial small subunit ribosomal RNA
Source: RNAcentral
AGACGGAGGGUGCAAGCGUUAAUCGGAAUUACUGGGCGUAAAGCGCUCGUAGGCGGCUUGUUAAGUCGGAUGUGAAAGCCCUGGGCUCAACCUGGGAACUGCAUUCGAUACUGGCAGGCUAGAGUAUAGUAGAGGCAAGUGGAAUUCCGGGUGUAGCGGUGAAAUGCGUAGAUAUCCGGAGGAACAUCAGUGGCGAAGGCGACUUGCUGGACUAAUGCUGACGCUGAGGAGCGAAAGCGUGGGGAGCAAACGGGAUUAGAAACCCCAGUAGUCC